AUGGCUCAGGAUGAACGCUAGCGGCAGGCUAACACAUGCAAGUCGAGGGGCAUCGGGAGUAGCAAUACUUGCCGGCGACCGGCGCAAGGGUGCGUAACGCGUGAGCAACAUGCCCGUAUCAGGGGGAUAAUCCAUGGAAACGUGGUCUAAUACCCCAUAGUAAUUAUGUAAGGCAUCUUAUAUAAUUUAAAGCUUUGGUGGAUACGGAUUGGCUCGCGUGACAUUAGCUGGAUGGUAAGGUAACGGCUUACCAUGGCUACGAUGUCUAGGGGUUCUGAGAGGAAGGUCCCCCACACUGGAACUGAGACACGGUCCAGACUCCUACGGGAGGCAGCAGUGAGGAAUAUUGGACAAUGGAUGGAAAUCUGAUCCAGCCAUGCCGCGUGCAGGAAGACGGCCCUAUGGGUUGUAAACUGCUUUUGUAUGGGAGCAAUAAGGGCUACGUGUAGUCCGAUGAGAGUACCAUACGAAUAAGCACCGGCUAACUCCGUGCCAGCCGCCGC
RNAcentral lists this ribosomal RNA (503 nucleotides) under uncultured bacterium. Its description in RNAcentral is "bacterial SSU rRNA". It matches the Rfam family "Bacterial small subunit ribosomal RNA", at positions 19 to 518 of the family's 1533-position model. The record is from RNAcentral.